Non-coding RNA from Paramuricea clavata, 369 nucleotides. NCBI's taxonomy places the organism in Eukaryota, Metazoa, Cnidaria, Anthozoa, Malacalcyonacea, Plexauridae. The record is from the annotation of a GenBank genome assembly.
UGUAAACUAAAUAAUUAGUUUUACCAAUUAUAACCGAUUUAUUAUUUCCCAGGGCCGUAGCAACGGGGGGUGGGGGAAGGGGCAGCCCUCAAUAUAGUCUUUAAAAUACUGACAAUUGAUUAAUUUUAAGCGGCUACAUUACCUAUGACAAACCGAAAAAAGAAUCAUAUUACCCAUAUACGCCUACGCCCAUUUAGUUCUUCUAAAUUGUAAGCAAAUUAAUUGUAAAUUUCGACGUGCUGAAACUCUGUUUUCUGACCAUCAGAAUUCUGUCAAAACUUCCCCCAAAGUCCACGAAAUGGCAUUUCAGAGACUCUAAAUUUAAAAAUUUCCUCGGGCCUUCGGCACUCGCUACCCCGUUAUCAAAAA